CAGCACCUCAAGUGGUCAGGAUGAUUAUUGGGCCUAAAGCAUCCGUAGCCGGCGCUGUAAGUUUUCGGUUAAAUCCGUACGCUCAACGUACAGGCUGCCGGGAAUACUGCAGCGCUAGGGAGUGGGAGAGGUAGACGGUACUCGGUAGGAAGGGGUAAAAUCCUUUGAUCUAUUGAUGACCACCUGUGGCGAAGGCGGUCUACCAGAACACGUCCGACGGUGAGGGAUGAAAGCUGGGGGAGCAAACCGGAUUAGAGACCCGAGUAGUCC
RNAcentral lists this ribosomal RNA (270 nucleotides) under uncultured archaeon. Its description in RNAcentral is "partial 16S ribosomal RNA". It matches the Rfam family "Archaeal small subunit ribosomal RNA", at positions 477 to 747 of the family's 1478-position model. The record is from RNAcentral.